CCACCCUGCCUCAGGCAAUGCUUUCCUCUUUCUGUCUCUCCCUGUCUCUCUUUCUCUGUGCAAACUGGUUGAAUUAAUGGUAAAAAAUCACUGUUUAUCUCCUAUAAAGUUUUGAUUAAUGGAAGAAAGGAUUUUUGAUGCUAGACUUAAGCUGCAGCAAAUCUGAUGUGCUUUGUGUGUUUUUCUGUAUUAUUCUGUCAUAAAGAGGGGUACCUUAUGAUAGAACACUGGCUUAGGACGCUUUUCAAGGCAGAACAGCAAACUGGUCUGUUACAAACUUUGCUGCAGUUUCCUGAGAAAAACUGGAUGAGUUUUUUUCUUGUCUUGCAUGUCCUUGGGAACUUGAAGCUGUAAGCAUGUGGCCAUGUUUUCUCUUUUCACAAUGGCAUCCUGUGUUCAGGGUUCAAUUUCUGCCUCGGGAUGAAUUUUUUUUAUCUUCUUCUGUGCACAAUUGGAGAAACUGAUUAUUUUACGAAGACUUUGAUGGAAUGGUAUACUCUCCUUUAAGGAAUCAAACUUGACUUGCCAAGUCAAUAAAAGCCCCUUGGAGAAAUGGCCUCAGACCUUUGCUACAACAGUCCCUGUACGUGAUUUCUGACCUGUGGUAAGUAAAUAAUGUCAC
RNAcentral lists this long non-coding RNA (622 nucleotides) under Homo sapiens (human). Its description in RNAcentral is "HSALNT0148281". Lineage: Eukaryota; Metazoa; Chordata; Mammalia; Primates; Hominidae. The record is from RNAcentral.